ACUGAGACACGGUCCAGACUCCUACGGGAGGCAGCAGUAGGGAAUCUUCCGCAAUGGGCGAAAGCCUGACGGAGCAACGCCGCGUGAGUGAUGAAGGUCUUCGGAUCGUAAAACUCUGUUGUUAGGGAAGAACAAAUUUGUUAGUAACUGAACAAGUCUUGACGGUACCUAACCAGAAAGCCACGGCUAACUACGUGCCAGCAGCCGCGGUAAUACGUAGGUGGCAAGCGUUAUCCGGAAUUAUUGGGCGUAAAGCGCGCGUAGGCGGUUUCUUAAGUCUGAUGUGAAAGCCCACGGCUCAACCGUGGAGGGUCAUUGGAAACUGGGAAACUUGAGUGCAGAAGAGGAGAGUGGAAUUCCAUGUGUAGCGGUGAAAUGCGCAGAGAUAUGGAGGAACACCAGUGGCGAAGGCGGCUCUCUGGUCUGUAACUGACGCUGAUGUGCGAAAGCGUGGGGAUCAAACAGGAUUAGAUACCCUGGUAGUCCACGCCGUAAACGAUGAGUGCUAAGUGUUAGGG
This 518-nucleotide ribosomal RNA is filed under the name Staphylococcus sp. RNAcentral describes it as "bacterial SSU rRNA". It matches the Rfam family "Bacterial small subunit ribosomal RNA", at positions 318 to 828 of the family's 1533-position model. The record is from RNAcentral. Lineage: Bacteria; Bacillati; Bacillota; Bacilli; Caryophanales; Staphylococcaceae.